UACGGGAGGCAGCAGUGGGGAAUAUUGGACAAUGGGCGAAAGCCUGAUCCAGCCAUGCCGCAUGAGUGAAGAAGGCCUUCGGGUUGUAAAGCUCUUUUAGUGAGAAAGAUAAUGACGGUACUCACAGAAGAAGUCCUGGCUAACUCCGUGCCAGCAGCCGCGGUAAUACGGAGAGGGCUAGCGUUAUUCGGAAUUAUUGGGCGUAAAGAGCGCGUAGGCUGAUUAGUAGUUAAAAGUGAAAUCCCAAAGCUUAACUUUGGAAUUGCUUUUUAAAACUGCUAGUCUAGAGAUUUGAAAGAGGAUAGAGGAAUUCCUAGUGUAGAGGUGAAAUUCGUAAAUAUUAGGAGGAACACCAGUGGCGAAGGCGUCUAUCUGGUUCAAAUCUGACGCUGAGGCGCGAAGGGCGUGGGGAGCGAAACAGGGAUUAGAUACC
This 433-nucleotide ribosomal RNA is filed under the name uncultured bacterium. RNAcentral describes it as "bacterial SSU rRNA". It matches the Rfam family "Bacterial small subunit ribosomal RNA", at positions 340 to 786 of the family's 1533-position model. The record is from RNAcentral.